Molecule: long non-coding RNA, 579 nt
Filed under: Hordeum vulgare
Lineage: Eukaryota; Viridiplantae; Streptophyta; Magnoliopsida; Poales; Poaceae
Description: long non-coding RNA (HVUL_LNC010218)
Source: RNAcentral
AACACCUUAGCACUAGUCCACACACAUUGCAAUUUAUCAAAGUAAUGAAUACAAAUCAACUAAAACAUGAUAGACAUGACUAGAGAAUAUUCCCAUGUGUCCUCGAGAAUGCUUGCUCACUAUAAGAAACACUUUUGGCUUGUCCUUUGUAUAAAUAAGGAUUGGGCUACCUUGCUUCACUUUCCUACUACUGAUACUUGUCACUUGGUAUGAAUUUUCUUGCUACCAAAUUACACAUUACUACUAUUUUUAGUACUCGCCAAGAAUACCUUACUAAAAUCCGCUUACGAUUUUUUCAGCUCCUCGUUGGUUUGACACUCUUACUUAUUGAAAGGUUUACGAUUGAUCCCCUAUACUUGUAGGUCAUCAAGACUCUUUCUGGCACCGUUGUCGGGGAGUGAUGCGCCUUUGGUAAGGAAACAUUUACAUUGAGUGCUAAAAUUUGCCUCAACCUGUUACUAUGGAAAGUAAUCCUUCGAGAGACUUGUUUGGGGGUAUAUUCACCUCGACCGGAAGAUGCAAGAGCCAUUACUCAACCUACUGAAAAUAUUUUUUAUGAGAUCCCUUCGGGCAUUUUAG